Molecule: transfer RNA, 71 nt
Filed under: Loxodonta africana (African savanna elephant)
Lineage: Eukaryota; Metazoa; Chordata; Mammalia; Proboscidea; Elephantidae
Rfam family: tRNA
About the family: Transfer RNA (tRNA) molecules are approximately 80 nucleotides in length. Their secondary structure includes four short double-helical elements and three loops (D, anti-codon, and T loops).
Source: Rfam by way of RNAcentral
GCAGUUGUGGUUCAGUGGUAGAAUUCUCACCUUCCAUGCAGGAGACCUGGGUUUGAUUCCCGGCCAAUGCC